UGCUCUUUUUUCUUAGGUUUGCCUCUACUCC
This 31-nucleotide non-coding RNA is filed under the name Mus musculus (house mouse). Lineage: Eukaryota; Metazoa; Chordata; Mammalia; Rodentia; Muridae. The record is from RNAcentral.